UGGGGAAUAUUGGACAAUGGGGGCAACCCUGAUCCAGCAAUGCCGCGUGUGUGAAGAAGGCCUUAGGGUUGUAAAGCACUUUCAGUGGGGAGGAAGGUUUGAGUGCUAAUAUCAUUCAAAAUUGACGUUACCCACAGAAGAAGCACCGGCUAACUCUGUGCCAGCAGCCGCGGUAAUACAGAGGGUGCAAGCGUUAAUCGGAAUUACUGGGCGUAAAGAGUGCGUAGGUGGUUGUGUAAGUUAGAUGUGAAAUCCCUGGGCUCAACCUAGGAACUGCGUUUAAAACUGCAUAGCUAGAGUAUUGUAGAGGAUAGUGGAAUUUCCAGUGUAGCGGUGAAAUGCGUAGAUAUUGGAAGGAACACCAGUGGCGAAGGCGACUAUCUGGGCAAAUACUGACACU
RNAcentral lists this ribosomal RNA (400 nucleotides) under uncultured bacterium. Its description in RNAcentral is "bacterial SSU rRNA". It matches the Rfam family "Bacterial small subunit ribosomal RNA", at positions 355 to 747 of the family's 1533-position model. The record is from RNAcentral.